Molecule: ribosomal RNA, 265 nt
Filed under: uncultured Staphylococcus sp.
Lineage: Bacteria; Bacillati; Bacillota; Bacilli; Caryophanales; Staphylococcaceae
Description: partial 16S ribosomal RNA
Rfam family: Bacterial small subunit ribosomal RNA
Source: RNAcentral
CGGCGAACGGGUGAGUAACACGUGGAUAACCUACCUAUAAGACUGGGAUAACUUCGGGAAACCGGAGCUAAUACCGGAUAAUAUAUUGAACCGCAUGGUUCAAUAGUGAAAGACGGUUUUGCUGUCACUUAUAGAUGGAUCCGCGCCGCAUUAGCUAGUUGGUAAGGUAACGGCUUACCAAGGCAACGAUGCGUAGCCGACCUGAGAGGGUGAUAGGCCACACUGGAACUGAGACACGGUCCAGACUCCUACGGGAGGCAGCAGC